RNAcentral lists this long non-coding RNA (339 nucleotides) under Androctonus crassicauda. Lineage: Eukaryota; Metazoa; Arthropoda; Arachnida; Scorpiones; Buthidae. The record is from RNAcentral.
UAUUUAAAUUAAUUUUUAAAAUAAUUCGUUAUCGAAGAUUGUUUGUUUUUUUCCCGACAUUUUCUCAGAAAAUCUUGGAUAUUAUCAACGUUGUUCAGGUAAUUAAAUGAAUUCUCGAUGCCUAGCAAAAAUCAGCGGACAGUGUCUAGCACAACAGAGGCUUCUGACAAAGAUGGUAAUUUUUCUUCUUCUUCUUCAUCAGAUUCUGAAUUUUCACUUUUUUGAUCUUCCUCGUUUUCUCUGUUCGUUAAUGAAUCAAUUAUUUCAGCUUCAUUCAGUACUUCAGUUGUCAAAACUUCAUCAUCCAUCGUGACAUAAUCUUCAAAAGUUAUAUUGUUG